RNAcentral lists this ribosomal RNA (301 nucleotides) under uncultured bacterium. Its description in RNAcentral is "partial 16S ribosomal RNA". It matches the Rfam family "Bacterial small subunit ribosomal RNA", at positions 509 to 807 of the family's 1533-position model. The record is from RNAcentral.
CAGUCGCCACGGGAAUACAGAGGGUGCAAGCGUUAAUCGGAAUUACUGGGCGUAAAGCGCGCGUAGGUGGUUUGUUAAGUUGGAUGUGAAAUCCCCUGGCUCAACCUGGGAACUGCAUCCAAAACUGGCAAGCUAGAGUAUGGUAGAGGGUGGUGGAAUUUCCUGUGUAGCGGUGAAAUGCGUAGAUAUAGGAAGGAACACCAGUGGCGAAGGCGACCACCUGGACUGAUACUGACACUGAGGUGCGAAAGCGUGGGGAGCAAACAGGAUUAGAUACCCGCGUAGUCCCUGUCUCUUAUAC